This 163-nucleotide ribosomal RNA is filed under the name Weberbauera ayacuchoensis. RNAcentral's name for it is "5.8S ribosomal RNA". It matches the Rfam family "5.8S ribosomal RNA". From Rfam's summary of the family: 5.8S ribosomal RNA (5.8S rRNA) is a component of the large subunit of the eukaryotic ribosome. The record is from RNAcentral. Lineage: Eukaryota; Viridiplantae; Streptophyta; Magnoliopsida; Brassicales; Brassicaceae.
AACGACUCUCGGCAACGGAUAUCUCGGCUCUUGCAUCGAUGAAGAACGUAGCGAAAUGCGAUACUUGGUGUGAAUUGCAGAAUCCCGUGAACCAUCGAGUCUUUGAACGCAAGUUGCGCCCCAAGCCUUCUGGCCGAGGGCACGUCUGCCUGGGUGUCACAAA